This 533-nucleotide long non-coding RNA is filed under the name Lytechinus variegatus (green sea urchin). RNAcentral describes it as "uncharacterized LOC121423261". The record is from RNAcentral. Lineage: Eukaryota; Metazoa; Echinodermata; Echinoidea; Temnopleuroida; Toxopneustidae.
AACAUCAAUAUUAAUUUAAUGACAUUCCAUAAGAAUAAAAAUCCAAUAGGACGAAGAUCUUAGCAGUUCACACCCGGUCAGAGGGACAAAAUUGAGAACCAUGCAGAUCAGCUGCAAGUGUGAGUUACACUCUAAUGAGGAACAGGACAUCUGAAUUGGAAAAUUGCAAGGUUUCCCACUGCCCAAGCUGUUUAAGUACCGGUAUCAAUACAAGUACCAAGACGGAAGAAAUAUGAAGGCCAAGUUAAUAAGUAGUUACUUUAAAUUAAUUUGAAUAGAUAUAUCAACAAAGCAUUGAAUGUUCUUUAAACUGCAUAUCUGUAGAAAGAGUGCAGUUCAAGUUCAGAUUCAUCAGCAGGCAAUGAUAUUAAAGUAUACAAAAUUUCACACAAAAUACAAGUAAGAAUUUUUUUUUCCAAUGGGCAAAUGUAUCAACUUUUAUUAAUAUUUAAUACUUAUACUAGUUCUUAGAAGUUUUCGUGAAAUUAAAUAUAAUUUCCAGUUUAAAGGCCUAUUGUAUACAAGACAAAAAU